CUUAAGCAAAAUACAGACAUCGCUUUGCUCUUAGGAAUGACUGGGAGUCAUUCUGGCAGUUGCUCAGAACCCAGAGAGCUGGUCCUCCCAGGUUGGUCUGCAAAGAAUGGUGUCCCCUUCUGGGUCUCAUCCAGGUAUACAGUGUUUCCAUAUUUUAGAAAUUUAUUUAUCCCAAUUUUAAAGACUAACUUUCAAAUUUCUAGGCAUGGGAAUGUUCAACAUUCAACUGCUUGCUUAAGAAAUUAACCAUUUGAUAUAUCAGCACUUCAUUGACUAUCAGAGAAAUUUUUUCAAAAGACACAAAAUUUAGUAUUUUAGGUUCCACAAGUGGAGGAAGAUUAAUUAUUUGAAGAACCUGACUUUAAUUUUUUCUAAAAUAUUAUCUUCCUUACAUUGCAAAACUAUUUCGACAAUAGAAGCAAAUGAUUUCAUGUCCAUGAUAUUCGUGUAUUACAUCUAUGCUACCUUUUUUUAAUGGAUCACAAUUCAUGAAAAGAUCUUACAUUUUAUCUUUACUUAUCCCAACCCUGAAUUUAUUCUAAACACUACUCUUGCUUCUGGAAUGCUCAGCUCUAGGCCUUAGCAAAGUACUCCCCUAAAACUGGGAAGCUCAGCUCAACUUGAUAUGGUAUACAUUGGUAGAGCAUUUGAUGAGUAAAUUCCCAUUCCAGAAUCUUCUAGUCACCAAAUACUUAGGAUAAAAACCAAGGAAUGAUUUUGUAUGUGCCAUGAAACAGUAGCUUCCCUUGGUCAGCAUUUUCCUGGCUGUGCUGUUCUCUCCUGUUUGUUAAUACUCAAUGCAUCUCAGAGGUAGAAAAUCCUGCUAUUGCUUGUGUAACUAGGAAUAGCACAGCAUGUACUAAUACAUGUGUGACCAAUUAUUAGGACUUAUUACAGCACCUUUCUUGUAAAGUGCUCUGGCUGUUAUCAUCAAUAACCAAUAAUGGGGAGUCAACUGUCCCUCUCUGCAAAGGGAAAAAUUAAGGGAGAAGAUUCUGACAGACAUAGGCUGCAGGACUACUCCAAGGUGAGCAAUUAAUUGCUCAGCUCAGCUGGCUGGACCUGCUUACACCAGAGGCCCAUCCCAGCCCAGCCGUAGGGAACAAGCAGCUGGCCCAUCCUGGCAGGAGCCCUAGGGUGGUAAGUUCAUGACUAAAACACCACUAGUCCAUCUGCUUUCUUUCUCAACAUAAGGAUCCUUAAGGAUAUUCCUAUCCCCCUCUGUGCUUUUUGCUGGCUAUCAUUCAUGGGAAAUCAGCCACAUUUUCUCAUGUGUCUUCUGAGCACCCUUAGGAUUUAAGAAAGGAAAAUAAAUGUACUUUUUUUUCCAUGAGAAUGGAAGAACAGAGAGGAUAAGGGAAUUGCCUAGGACCACUCAGGCAAUAAACAAGGUUGAGAUUUUAAUCUGAUUCCAUCUGCUCUUUUGUGUGCUCUCCACCUGUGAUGCCUCUCACCACAAAACCUUUCAAAGAGUUUCAAAAAUGAGAUGCUUGUUUCUACAGAUGUGAUGCGCCAUAUUGGGGAGGGGGCAAUUAGAAGAAUGGAAACUAGAACAUCUCUUUUCCAGGGAUGUGGGACAGGGGCUACUUGGCUGAGAAAUAAGUGGUUGGGGUGUACUCUGGACUUCCUGGAUAAUGUGGGGCCCAAGAGGUUGUCAGUGGGAGGGUUAAAGGGGUCAUUUAAAGACAGGUGUUUACAGCCAUUGCCACACAACAGCAUCUGUCCUUAAGAACAUCAAGGUGAUUGCCUGGAUGGAGGUUGAGGUCACCAAGAUAAAAAUGCUAUUGUGUCAUUUGGAUUCAAAUAAAUAAAUCCCCCCAAACCCCAAAACAUGAAUUAUAUCCUGUAUUCUGUAAAGGUAGCUAAAUUUAGGGGAGAUCUCAACACUAAGCUCAUCUCUCUUGGUUAUUUAUAAAAACAACCUGAGUCAAGGGCAAGGCCCCUCAUUCAUUGCCCCACCCCAUUGCUACCCUUGGACUUUGUCUCAUUCACGGAGCCUGAGAAAAUGCUGCAACCCACACCCCAGCAGGCAGUUUCCACUACUGUACUAACGAUUCCAUCUGUUACGAAGGUCACAACAAUGUAUCUUGUUUUAAAUUUUUCUAUGGAGUGAUUUAUUG
RNAcentral lists this long non-coding RNA (2120 nucleotides) under Marmota monax (woodchuck). Lineage: Eukaryota; Metazoa; Chordata; Mammalia; Rodentia; Sciuridae. The record is from RNAcentral.